GGGUUGUGAGGUUAAGCGACUAAGCGUACACGGUGGAUGCCCUGGCAGUCAGAGGCGAUGAAGGACGUGCUAAUCUGCGAAAAGCGUCGGUAAGGUGAUAUGAACCGUUAUAACCGGCGAUGUCCGAAUGGGGAAACCCAGUGUGAUUCGUCACACUAUCGUUAACUGAAUACAUAGGUUAACGAGGCGAACCGGGGGAACUGAAACAUCUAAGUACCCCGAGGAAAAGAAAUCAACCGAGAUUCCCCCAGUAGCGGCGAGCGAACGGGGAGCAGCCCAGAGUCUGAAUCAGCUUGUGUGUUAGUGGAACGGUCUGGAAAGUCCGACGGUACAGGGUGAUAGUCCCGUACACCAAAAUGCACAGGCUGUGAACUCGAAGAGUAGGGCGGGACACGUGGUAUCCUGUCUGAAUAUGGGGGGACCAUCCUCCAAGGCUAAAUACUCCUGACUGACCGAUAGUGAACCAGUACCGUGAGGGAAAGGCGAAAAGAACCCCGGCGAGGGGAGUGAAAAAGAACCUGAAACCGUGUACGUACAAGCAGUGGGAGCACCUUCGGGUGUGACUGCGUACCUUUUGUAUAAUGGGUCAGCGACUUAUAUUCUGUAGCAAGGUUAACCGUAUAGGGGAGCCGCAGGGAAACCGAGUCUUAACUGGGCGUUAAGUUGCAGGGUAUAGACCCGAAACCCGGUGAUCUAGCCAUGGGCAGGUUGAAGGUUGGGUAACACUAACUGGAGGACCGAACCGACUAAUGUUGAAAAAUUAGCGGAUGACUUGUGGCUGGGGGUGAAAGGCCAAUCAAACCGGGAGAUAGCUGGUUCUCCCCGAAAGCUAUUUAGGUAGCGCCUCGUGAACUCAUCUUCGGGGGUAGAGCACUGUUUCGGCUAGGGGGUCAUCCCGACUUACCAACCCGAUGCAAACUACGAAUACCGAAGAAUGUUAUCACGGGAGACACACGGCGGGUGCUAACGUCCGUCGUGAAGAGGGAAACAACCCAGACCGCCAGCUAAGGUCCCAAAGUCAUGGUUAAGUGGGAAACGAUGUGGGAAGGCACAGACAGCCAGGAUGUUGGCUUAGAAGCAGCCAUCAUUUAAAGAAAGCGUAAUAGCUCACUGGUCGAGUCGGCCUGCGCGGAAGAUGUAACGGGGCUAAACCAUGCACCGAAGCUGCGGCAGCGACACUAUGUGUUGUUGGGUAGGGGAGCGUUCUGUAAGCCUGCGAAGGUGUGCUGUGAGGCAUGCUGGAGGUAUCAGAAGUGCGAAUGCUGACAUAAGUAACGAUAAAGCGGGUGAAAAGCCCGCUCGCCGGAAGACCAAGGGUUCCUGUCCAACGUUAAUCGGGGCAGGGUGAGUCGACCCCUAAGGCGAGGCCGAAAGGCGUAGUCGAUGGGAAACAGGUUAAUAUUCCUGUACUUGGUGUUACUGCGAAGGGGGGACGGAGAAGGCUAUGUUAGCCGGGCGACGGUUGUCCCGGUUUAAGCAUGUAGGCUGGUUGUCCAGGCAAAUCCGGAUAAUCAAGGCUGAGGUGUGAUGACGAGGCACUACGGUGCUGAAGUAACAAAUGCCCUGCUUCCAGGAAAAGCCUCUAAGCAUCAGGUAACAUCAAAUCGUACCCCAAACCGACACAGGUGGUCAGGUAGAGAAUACCAAGGCGCUUGAGAGAACUCGGGUGAAGGAACUAGGCAAAAUGGUGCCGUAACUUCGGGAGAAGGCACGCUGGUGUGUAGGUGAAGUCCCUGCGGAUGGAGCUGAGACCAGUCGAAGAUACCAGCUGGCUGCAACUGUUUAUUAAAAACACAGCACUGUGCAAACACGAAAGUGGACGUAUACGGUGUGACGCCUGCCCGGUGCCGGAAGGUUAAUUGAUGGGGUUAUCCGUAAGGAGAAGCUCUUGAUCGAAGCCCCGGUAAACGGCGGCCGUAACUAUAACGGUCCUAAGGUAGCGAAAUUCCUUGUCGGGUAAGUUCCGACCUGCACGAAUGGCGUAAUGAUGGCCAGGCUGUCUCCACCCGAGACUCAGUGAAAUUGAACUCGCUGUGAAGAUGCAGUGUACCCGCGGCAAGACGGAAAGACCCCGUGAACCUUUACUAUAGCUUGACACUGAACAUUGAGCCUUGAUGUGUAGGAUAGGUGGGAGGCUUUGAAGCGUGGACGCCAGUCUGCGUGGAGCCAACCUUGAAAUACCACCCUUUAAUGUUUGAUGUUCUAACGUUGGCCCCUUACCGGGGUUGCGGACAGUGUCUGGUGGGUAGUUUGACUGGGGCGGUCUCCUCCCAAAGCGUAACGGAGGAGCACGAAGGUUAGCUAAUCCUGGUCGGACAUCAGGAGGUUAGUGCAAUGGCAUAAGCUAGCUUGACUGCGAGCGUGACGGCGCGAGCAGGUGCGAAAGCAGGUCAUAGUGAUCCGGUGGUUCUGAAUGGAAGGGCCAUCGCUCAACGGAUAAAAGGUACUCCGGGGAUAACAGGCUGAUACCGCCCAAGAGUUCAUAUCGACGGCGGUGUUUGGCACCUCGAUGUCGGCUCAUCACAUCCUGGGGCUGAAGUAGGUCCCAAGGGUAUGGCUGUUCGCCAUUUAAAGUGGUACGCGAGCUGGGUUUAGAACGUCGUGAGACAGUUCGGUCCCUAUCUGCCGUGGGCGCUGGAGAAUUGAGGGGGGCUGCUCCUAGUACGAGAGGACCGGAGUGGACGCAUCACUGGUGUUCGGGUUGUCAUGCCAAUGGCACUGCCCGGUAGCUAAAUGCGGAAGAGAUAAGUGCUGAAAGCAUCUAAGCACGAAACUUGCCCCGAGAUGAGUUCUCCCUGAGACUUUAAGUCUCCUGAAGGAACGUUGAAGACGACGACGUUGAUAGGCCGGGUGUGUAAGCGCAGCGAUGCGUUGAGCUAACCGGUACUAAUGAACCGUGAGGCUUAACCUUACAACGCCGAAG
This 2923-nucleotide ribosomal RNA is filed under the name Klebsiella pneumoniae. RNAcentral describes it as "bacterial LSU rRNA". It matches the Rfam family "Bacterial large subunit ribosomal RNA". The record is from RNAcentral. Lineage: Bacteria; Pseudomonadati; Pseudomonadota; Gammaproteobacteria; Enterobacterales; Enterobacteriaceae.